CACGUGUGUUACAAUCUUGUGGUCUGAAACCAACAGGCGCAGGCCGCAGGUCAUGCCAGAGGAGGAAGAAGGUCAUUGAGUGGCUGACAAUGGAGCUCCACAUGUCAGAGUGUGUUGUAACAAAUGGACACAAAAUCAUAAUGGUACUCAGCAAAGACACGAUUGAAGGAUGUGUUUGAGCAAAAGACACGAAAUAACGGUGUUCAAGAGCAAAUUUCCCCAUACGGAAAAGAUGCUCGAUCCGAAAAAUAACCGUUACUUCAAUGGGUUAGGAAAAAAAAACUGUCCGGAAACAAGGUCCGAUCUGAAUUUUUUUCGGGGAUCCGAAUCCGCGGAGGAGAAACCCAAUAUCUUCGGUGUCCAAUCUUGUCGAAACAGGUGACCCGAUCUCUUGAAAACGGUUGGUUUCACCCGUGCUUGUCCAGAAGAGCCUUCUUCCUCCUGAAGCCGCCGCUGAUCCAGCCUCCUCAGGAUGCCGCCGCCGGCCCGCUGCUAGCUCGCGCGCCCCGCCCCUGCUGACUGCACCUCGCUGACUGCAACCAACUUAGUACUCAAACAUUUAAUUUGAUUAUUUCUCAGUUGGCGAGGUAGCAAAGAAGAUCUAGAGGUAAAUCAUCAAUCAUGGAUAAGAAAAAGAAAAUAGACAAAAAUGAAAAAAUUCCGCGACUGGAUUGAGAAGUGAGAGAGAAGGUUGAGAUAUCGAUGCUCUGCUUCGGUGCAUAGCCGGAAAGAAAAUGGAGAAAGAAAAGAAUAAAAAAUGAAUGGGGCCCACUAAAGAUUAGAGGCUAAGCACUAAGCUGCGUUACCAAUUCUUUGGGUAACGUUUUCGCCGUAGCUGGCGAAGUGAGGACGGGCUGGGCGAGCCAAAUUUUUUUAAUUUUUUUUGAGAGGUGGUGAGCCAAUUUUUCGGUAUGGCUCAUUUUGGUUGUAAAACAAACGGGUCCUUUCUGUUUGGCUCGGUCCGUUGGUGAGAUAUAAGUUAACUCUCUCUACCCAGUCUAAUAAUAGCUCAGCCCGUAAAAGAGAAAAGCAUUUCAACACCAUUCGCCCCCCUAUAGUCCCUCCCUACCUCCUCUUUUCUCCAGUCUCCUGAAUCCUGAUCCCCCCAGUCUUCCGAUUCCCCACUGCUAACCCUAGCCGCCAGGCAUUACCGGACAGCCAGGUCGGCGCCACCAUGCCCCCCACGCCGCCUCUAGUCCUAACUCGGCAACUCCUGACCGCCUGCUCGCCAUCGUGCGGCAGAGCCGCUUACAGGAACCGCUGGCGAGAAGACCCCUCAUCGGCUCCUCUCUGGAUACAUCGGCUCCUCUCUGGAUCUCGUUCAUCUACUGAGUCCGGCGCAAUGGUGUUCCGCCGUGUCACUGGGCGACCCUAGGCCUCGGCGGCGGCAACCGAGCCGUGCCGGCAUCCAGAUCCGGUCUUUCCCCGUUACCAGUGACAUAAAGCUUCCGCCUUUCCGAUCUUGGGCCUCGCCGGCGGCAACCGUGAAGGAGCUUCGACGGCGCUGUUGCAUGCGUUGGUGCAUCGCAACGGUGCUACUGCGCCUGUAGAUGAUGAAGAGGGAGAGGGCGCCUUCGGCAACCGUCGCAGGUCACCAUGCUUCUUCUCUAUACUCUUUUUAUGAAUUGUUUUUGGAUUUUUUUUCAAAUUAAACAUUUCACAUCUCCUUUUCGCCACAUUGUUUUAGGUUUUUUUUGGAGCGAGUGAGAUUUUAUUUACUAACUCUGUUCUUUUUUCCAAAAAACUUUGAACGAUAGAUCAGACUCUGCUUAUCUUUUCUAUGUCAAUACAAUCGUGCUAUGUUAUUUAUUUUUGCCUAAACCUAAUUUUUUAGGUCGAAUAUUGGGUUCUCUUUUGAGAAUCCAAACUGGCAAGUCCAGACAUUCUUGGCCCGUUCACCGCCGAGUUACACAAGUGUUUUCAUUGUGGGCCGACUAAUGUGUACGGGCUUUCGUGGGCUGACUCGAGAAUACUAGCAAGCACAUUUAGAUUCCUCUGUAAACACCAGUAUCCCAUCCCUAAAAGAAAAGGAACACAUACAACAGUCAGCCGUGUGCCCGUGUCACACUAAUCUACCCUCUAUAAAAACCGGCGACUCCAUCUCUUUUUUCCUUAUUUCUCUGGAAUUUCAUUGCCAUCCCCCUCCUCCCCAUCAGCUCUCUCCGCUUCUCCAUGCUUGGCGUUCCUCCCUAUAGCCCAUCUCGCCCAAUCCCCAUCGCUCCCAUCCCAUCCCCAUACCGGUCUCUUCUCUCGUGUUCAUCCCAACCAGGGGGGUGUCUCAAGCUGGCGAAAUGCCUUCCUUUGCCUCUUCCCGGGUACUGUUUCUUCUGUUCUAAGUCUAUGCGCGUCUUUGUUUGAUCUGGUUAGGGUUUGGUAGUUAGGCUUGUGAUUUGAUACCUGUUUGAUUCUGUUAAGUACUGUUGGGAGCUGUUCAUUUCGGGGUUUCGUAGUUAAUAACUGUUUGAUCAUGUUGCUGUGAAUUGCGUAUAUUGAACUGAUUUGGUCUAGGAUUUUAUUUGGGGUUUAUUGACUCUAGACAUGGUUCUAAUCAGGUGACUUAUCUUGUGUUCUUGUCUUAGUACCCUAGUUUAUUUGGGGGUUUGGCCGUUCACAAUCUGUUUGAUUCCCUGUUGAUUGCUUUUUUUUUUUGAAGUGGAUUCCCUGUUAAUUGCUAUGAUUGGCAAAAUAUUUGUCUCCAUUGAGAGUUACUGAUUUGAGUAAUCUUACGUUCUCUAUUCCUGUCAUGCCAUUUGUUACGUUUAGCUGGAAUUCCAGAUAAAUGUUAAGAAGUUUGACUUACGACAAAGCUAGGGCAUCUUAUAUUUAGGAACGGACGUAGUACCUUUUUUGUGUGCAGUACUGUGUCCUUCUGGUCUAAUGAGUUAGUGUUUUGAGUAUUGUCUGGUUCCUUCGGUCCUUCCUAAUGUUUAUAUUGAUUUUUUGGACGGUACUCUAUAUCGUCUUGGUUCUAAUGUUAUAACCCUCCUGUCUUUGUUUAGUUCAUUUAGAAAUGCCUCAUUUUGUGUUAAUGGUGCUAUUAAUGGGCUGUGCAAGUGUACAUUACUGUGUAUUCUCAUGAUGCUACUGCUGCUGUAAUUGUUUGUAUACCGCCCUUCUUGAUUCUAAUGUUGCAUCUAAUUGUUAUGCAUAUUCAUAGCGCAAGGGUUCAUUUCAGUAGGGAGUAUAUUCGCUGACACCACUCCUUUUAAUAACUGUUUGAUCAUGUUGCUGCGAAUUGCGUAUAUUGUACUGAUUUGGUCUAGGCGUUUAUUGAUUCUAGACAUGGUUCUAGUUUCGUUACGUAUCAUUAUGGUCUUGUCUCCGUUUAUCUGGGGAUUUGGCAGUUCAUGAUCUAUUUGAUUCCAUGUUAAUUGUGAUGAGUGGCAAAUUGUUUGCCUCCAUUGGGAUUUAGUGAUGAGACUGGUUUUUCUAUUCUCGAGUGUGUUGCUCCACUAAUCUGGAUCGUCUGACUGAAUGGAAACGGAGGGCAGAUAGGUAUGGGUGACGACAUAUGCAGUGGCUCAGCAGACGGCGUCUGACGGCAUGGACGUUGUUCACGUUUGUCCGAUUGAUGUAGUACGACCUACAAACAAUAGUGAUGUCCAAAAAAAAAAUCCCUGUUUCGUGCACUACACAGCUACGGAUCUGGAUCUCUCUAUACGUUGCACUAAUAUAAUUUUUCCUCCCCCAAACAAUAGUGAUGUCGUACCUACAUGUCAUGUCUGAUUUACUUUGAAUAGUACAAGUAUUUUCCAGAUGCGAUUGAAAGCCAUGACGCACGUGUCCAAAAAGGACGUGAUAUUCGACACCAUGACUGUUGUGUAAUACUCGCUCUGAUCAUAAAUUCUUGACUUAAAUUUGCUCAAAUAUGAAUAUAUAUCUAUUUUUAAAAAACGUCUAGAUACAUGUAAUAUUUCGACAACAAUUUAGGAUCGGAGGGAGUAGUAGAUUUCGAUUGCACCCAAAGGGUAUGGGUUGCAGAUCAGAGAAGUGGUGUGAACUGUUGAUUUUUUUACCAGAGAUUUCAUUUCAUGUGUGUCUAUACAUACAUACAUACAUACAUACAUAUACAUACAUACAUACAUAUAUAUAUACAUAUAUAUAUAUAUAUAUACACACAUUAUAUAUAUAUAUACAAACAUAUAUCGUAGAUCAGAAAAGUGGUGUGAACUGUUGAUUUUUUUACCAGAGAUUUCAUUUCUGUGUGUGUCUAUACAUAUACAUAUACAUCAAUUCUCUCACUCAAAAACAUGUGUUUUCUCUCUCUCUGCACAUAUAUCCAUUCUCUCUUAAGAAUAUGUAUUUUUUCUAUCUAUUCGAUUUCGCCUCUCUCUCCAUACACACACUUUCUCUCUCUCUCUCAAGAAUGUAUGUUUUCUCUCUCUAUAUAUACAUAUCCAUUCUCUCUCAAGUAUAUGUGUUUUGUUUGUCUAUUAGAUUCAUUCUCUCUCAAGCAUAUGUGUUUUCGUGUACUUCGAUUUAGUCUCUCUCUCUCAAUAUAUGUACACACACAUUCUCUCAAGAAUAUUUGUUUUCUCUCUAUAUAUACAUAUCCAUUUUCUCUCAAAAAUAUGUGUUUCAUCUGUUUAUUUGAUCCACGACUACAGUUUCUCUCUUGUACCCAACAUGGAAGGCAAAUUCUCCCGUACCCAAUACUCCAUCCACCUCCAACGGAGCAUUGGGGAAGGGCAUAUCAGUCAUUUCACAUUUAUGCAUUACUAGUAAAAAAAAAAGAAAAACCCCUCACCAGUCACCCCCGAGCCCGAGCCCUGUCAUCCCUGGAUUCUGUCUCCGCCGCCGCCCUCGGCCAGGUUUUUGGGCGGCGGAGGAUAUCCGGGGAGGAGGGGUUCGGAGAAAAGGCGUGGCUGGUUGCCGCUCGGUGUAGGGGGGUGAGAGCAUAUCUCCAGCAGAUACGGAAAGGGGAAAUUUGGACACCCGUUAUUUGUUGGCCUUUGCUCAAACACACUUUUCAAUCGUGUCUUUACUGAGUAUCAUUAUGAUUUUGUGUUCAUUUGUUACAACACAUUUUGACGUGUGGAACUCUAUUGUCAGUCACUCAAUGGCCCUCUUCCCUCUUUGGUUACCAGCCGAGUAACGGCGCCGGACCCGUCCGUACAGAACUGCAGAUGGCCGGCGCAGCAGAACCACAACGAUCCGCCCGAAUCGAUGGGUAGGAAGCCACAAGGAGAAAGAAGCUGCAGAGGAAGAGAGAUCUCGUCUUCCUCGUAGAGCCCACUCCAGUCAUUGUGUCGCCGCCCACACAAGCGCUUGCCGCUGCGACAGUCGAGCCCCGCCGAGCUCCCCUCCGCUGCAGAUGGCCGCGCCGCGCCGACACCACCGCCCGACGCGCACCCCGCCGGCCGCCGUGCCUCGUGCUGCUGCUUUCUUCGCGCCCGACGAGCCCACGAGCUUGCCCGCCUCCACCGCCCGCGAGCCGUCCCUAGCGCCUGCCGCACGCUCACACACCGUAGUGGAGGCAGCCGCACGGGGCUGUGUCGGGAUAGAAAGCCGCGGAGUCGACGUGGGGACGCUGUUGGUGGUCAUCGAAUCGAUUCUCUCCUACGUCUGUGUCGCUUACGUGAAUUCUACACAAGCUAGCUACUGAUCGUUUUUUGAUAGGCUACUUGUAUGCACGCAUCUCGCCGGAGUUCAUCGCCGCGUCGGAAGUAAUUGGCGUGCUGCACGUGUGUUACAAUCUUGUGGUCUGAAACCAACAGGCGCAGGCCGCAGGUCAUGCCAGAGGAGGAAGAAGGUCAUUGAGUGGCUGACAAUGGAGCUCCACAUGUCAGAGUGUGUUGUAACAAAUGGACACAAAAUCAUAAUGGUACUCAGCAAAGACACGAUUGAAGGAUGUGUUUGAGCAAAAGACACGAAAUAACGGUGUUCAAGAGCAAAUUUCCCCAUACGGAAAAGAUGCUCGAUCCGAAAAAUAACCGUUACUUCAAUGGGUUAGGAAAAAAAAACUGUCCGGAAACAAGGUCCGAUCUGAAUUUUUUUCGGGGAUCCGAAUCCGCGGAGGAGAAACCCAAUAUCUUCGGUGUCCAAUCUUGUCGAAACAGGUGACCCGAUCUCUUGAAAACGGUUGGUUUCACCCGUGCUUGUCCAGAAGAGCCUUCUUCCUCCUGAAGCCGCCGCUGAUCCAGCCUCCUCAGGAUGCCGCCGCCGGCCCGCUGCUAGCUCGCGCGCCCCGCCCCUGCUGACUGCACCUCGCUGACUGCAACCAACUUAGUACUCAAACAUUUAAUUUGAUUAUUUCUCAGUUGGCGAGGUAGCAAAGAAGAUCUAGAGGUAAAUCAUCAAUCAUGGAUAAGAAAAAGAAAAUAGACAAAAAUGAAAAAAUUCCGCGACUGGAUUGAGAAGUGAGAGAGAAGGUUGAGAUAUCGAUGCUCUGCUUCGGUGCAUAGCCGGAAAGAAAAUGGAGAAAGAAAAGAAUAAAAAAUGAAUGGGGCCCACUAAAGAUUAGAGGCUAAGCACUAAGCUGCGUUACCAAUUCUUUGGGUAACGUUUUCGCCGUAGCUGGCGAAGUGAGGACGGGCUGGGCGAGCCAAAAUUUUUUAAUUUUUUUUGAGAGGUGGUGAGCCAAUUUUUCGGUAUGGCUCAUUUUGGUUGUAAAACAAACGGGUCCUUUCUGUUUGGCUCGGUCCGUUGGUGAGAUAUAAGUUAACUCUCUCUACCCAGUCUAAUAAUAGCUCAGCCCGUAAAAGAGAAAAGCAUUUCAACACCAUUCGCCCCCCUAUAGUCCCUCCCUACCUCCUCUUUUCUCCAGUCUCCUGAAUCCUGAUCCCCCCAGUCUUCCGAUUCCCCACUGCUAACCCUAGCCGCCAGGCAUUACCGGACAGCCAGGUCGGCGCCACCAUGCCCCCCACGCCGCCUCUAGUCCUAACUCGGCAACUCCUGACCGCCUGCUCGCCAUCGUGCGGCAGAGCCGCUUACAGGAACCGCUGGCGAGAAGACCCCUCAUCGGCUCCUCUCUGGAUACAUCGGCUCCUC
This 6990-nucleotide long non-coding RNA is filed under the name Brachypodium distachyon (stiff brome). RNAcentral describes it as "long non-coding RNA (BDIS_LNC005885)". The record is from RNAcentral. Lineage: Eukaryota; Viridiplantae; Streptophyta; Magnoliopsida; Poales; Poaceae.